Long non-coding RNA from Pongo pygmaeus (Bornean orangutan), 700 nucleotides. RefSeq lists it as uncharacterized. NCBI's taxonomy places the organism in Eukaryota, Metazoa, Chordata, Mammalia, Primates, Hominidae. The transcript is spliced from 2 exons. The record is from RefSeq and is a predicted model, not a curated record.
UUUACAGUUUGAACACAUCACUGAUUUUCUAUUCAUAUCUCUCCCCCAUAAUACCAGUUUGUUAUCUGAUUCUUGUAGAUAAUUAAGUGGGCUACUGGUGAUAUCAAAUCUGAACUUCACUAACUUUGGAUAUAUACGAUGUAUCUACAGGUCACAUUCCCUCACUUAAAGCAUACUAUGAAGUGCUGCGUGGAAUAUCUGAGUGAGAACACCGGGACUGCUGCUUGUGACCGUAUUGCUGAGACGUUCCACCCAUUCACAGCGACACUUAUAAAUAGACAAUGUUUUUUCUUUGGGAGUCAUUGUAUGUGCUAACCUUAAUGGUGUUACUCUAAUAAUUAUGUACGAGCUUGUUAAUGAAGUGGGAAACAUUGAUUUUAGAAGCUUAGAAACUGUGGAGGAAGGUGCUUCAUAUGGAUCUUUCUACUUUUUGUAUCUUUUGUGUUUCUAUGAAAAAAUCUUUUAAUCUGUGAAAAGUAAGCCUCAGAAUUCAUGUCUAAGCAUUUUGUAGAAGGAUGCAUGUGAGAAAAAGCACCUGCACUGUCAUAGCGAUCCUUUGGUGUUUUAAGAUGAAAAAGUUCAAAGCAUUUUAGAGUAGUCAUAAGGAUGACAUUGUAUAAGUUAGGAACUGGGUUGUCCUGUCACUUUGUGGUGACAAAACUGGUGAAAGUGGUAUUAAAAUCAUUGCUGGAUAUGUUUG